GCCAGACUCCUACGGGAGGCAGCAGUGGGGGAUAUUGCACAAUGGGGGAAACCCUGAUGCAGCGACGCCGCGUGAGUGAAGAAGUAUUUCGGUAUGUAAAGCUCUAUCAGCAGGGAAGAAAAAAGACGGUACCUGACUAAGAAGCCCCGGCUAACUACGUGCCAGCAGCCGCGGUAAUACGUAGGGGGCAAGCGUUAUCCGGAUUUACUGGGUGUAAAGGGAGCGUAGACGGCAAUACAAGUCGGAAGUGAAAUACCCGGGCUCAACCUGGGAACUGCUUUGGAAACUGUAUGGCUGGAGUGCAGGAGAGGUAAGUGGAAUUCCUAGUGUAGCGGUGAAAUGCGUAGAUAUUAGGAGGAACACCAGUGGCGAAGGCGGCUUACUGGACUGUAACUGACGUUGAGGCUCGAAAGCGUGGGGAGCAAACAGGAUUAGAUACCCCUGUAAG
This 448-nucleotide ribosomal RNA is filed under the name uncultured bacterium. RNAcentral describes it as "bacterial SSU rRNA". It matches the Rfam family "Bacterial small subunit ribosomal RNA", at positions 330 to 793 of the family's 1533-position model. The record is from RNAcentral.